AACGCACAUUGCGCCCGCCAGCAUUCUGGCGGGCAUGCCUGUUCGAGCGUCAUUUCAACCCUCAAGCUCUGCUUGGUGUUGGGGCCCUACGGUUGACGUAGGCCCUUAAAGGUAGUGGCGGACCCUCUCGGAGCCUCCUUUGCGUAGUAACUAACGUCUCGCACUGGGAUUCGGAGGGACUCUUGCCGUAAAACCCCCAAAUUUUUAAAGGUUGACCUCGGAUCAGGUAGGAAUACCCGCUGAACUUAA
This 249-nucleotide unclassified non-coding RNA is filed under the name uncultured Colletotrichum. Its description in RNAcentral is "sequence contains ITS2". Lineage: Eukaryota; Fungi; Ascomycota; Sordariomycetes; Glomerellales; Plectosphaerellaceae. The record is from RNAcentral.